AUAAUUGCUGUGAUGACAUCUACAAGGACGGUAUCUGAGCGAUGGAUCUAUCCUCACGUGAUUAUACCUAAACUGAGACUAAAAAUGUCUGAGCAAAACU
RNAcentral lists this small nucleolar RNA (100 nucleotides) under Oryza sativa (Asian cultivated rice). RNAcentral describes it as "Z118c small nucleolar RNA". It matches the Rfam family "Small nucleolar RNA Z118/Z121/Z120". From Rfam's summary of the family: This family consists of several snoRNA Z118, Z121 and Z120 sequences which are members of the C/D class of snoRNA which contain the C (UGAUGA) and D (CUGA) box motifs. This family seems to be found exclusively in rice. C/D box small nucleolar RNAs are known to act as a methylation guides for 18S ribosomal RNA in plants. The record is from RNAcentral. Lineage: Eukaryota; Viridiplantae; Streptophyta; Magnoliopsida; Poales; Poaceae.